Molecule: non-coding RNA, 265 nt
Organism: Pelobates cultripes (western spadefoot toad)
Lineage: Eukaryota; Metazoa; Chordata; Amphibia; Anura; Pelobatidae
Source: the annotation of a GenBank genome assembly
AUCAAGUAAAAAGCAGUUUACCGCUCCUGUGGAACUCACUUCCCUCCCCCGUUAGAUGCUCACCCAGCCUCAACUGUCAUUAGUCUAAUACUAAACUUACCUUUUGUAUCACUUUAUCCCACUCACUCUAGCAUGUAAGCACAUUGAGCAGGGCCUUCAAUCCGUCUGUUCCUGUGUGUCCAACUUGUCUGGUUACAACUACAUGUUUGUUCGUCCACCCACUGUAAAGUGCUGCAGAAUUUGUUGGCGCUAAAUAAAUAACAUA